UAGUCCACGCCGUAAACGAUGGAUACUAGCUGUUCGGAUUUCGGUCUGAGUGGCUAAGCGAAAGUGAUAAGUAUCCCACCUGGGGAGUACGUUCGCAAGAAUGAAACUCAAAGGAAUUGACGGGGGCCCGCACAAGCGGUGGAGCAUGUGGUUUAAUUCGAUGAUACGCGAGGAACCUUACCAGGGCUUAAAUGUAUAGUGACAGAUCCAGAGAUGGAUUUUUCUUCGGACACUUUACAAGGUGCUGCAUGGUUGUCGUCAGCUCGUGCCGUGAGGUGUCAGGUUAAGUCCUAUAACGAGCGCAACCCCUACCGUUAGUUGCUAGCAGGUCAUGCUGAGGACUCUAACGGGACUGCCGGUGCAAACCGUGAGGAAGGUGGGGACGACGUCAAAUCAUCACGGCCCUUACGUCCUGGGCCACACACGUGCUACAAUGGCCGGUACAGAGGGAAGCCACCACGUAAGUGGGCGCGGAUCUAUAAAACCGGUCACAGUUCGGAUCGGGGUCUGCAACUCGACCCCG
This 523-nucleotide ribosomal RNA is filed under the name uncultured bacterium. RNAcentral describes it as "bacterial SSU rRNA". It matches the Rfam family "Bacterial small subunit ribosomal RNA", at positions 791 to 1320 of the family's 1533-position model. The record is from RNAcentral.